This 1517-nucleotide long non-coding RNA is filed under the name Homo sapiens (human). Its description in RNAcentral is "HSALNT0089657". The record is from RNAcentral. Lineage: Eukaryota; Metazoa; Chordata; Mammalia; Primates; Hominidae.
UGCAUUCCACAGGAAGAGACUAAGGCAGAACUGGGUAGAGGAAGAAGUUGAAAUGUGGUGCAGGCCCAGUGACGGCCUGGCUGAGCUCAUGAGAGCUCUUGAGCUAGAAUGGUCUUGCUAGAGUUGAGCCAGAUGGCAAGGUCUUCUUACUCCAAAGCUAUUAGUCACUAGAUAUGGGCUGCCCAGGAGGGGCUUGAUCAUGAGCAAGGCAGCUUGCCUGAAGGGAUGGCAGCUGAAGGCUGUCUGUUGACAGACUUCCAGCAGCUGGGACAACAAGCUCUUAUUUCAGGGAGGUCUGGGUGGUGUAUCUCAGUGUCCCACACAUGAACAUUACUUUGGAAUGAGUGUUUCCACAGCACAGGAGCCCAGCAUGGGGGAUGUACAGGAAAAUCUGCAGGCCUGGGUGUCAGCCCUGAGUCAGGACUCUGACUCUGUUGCUUCUUAGCUGUGGGACCAUGGGUGCAUGAUCAAGCUGACUUGAGGGUUCUGAACAGAAGCUGACCAGUCUACUGCACAUUGUAAAGAAGUUAAAAAGCUGGAUUGAAUUGCAAAAUGUACUACUCAAGGAGUCCAAAGAAUAAAAUAUGAGCAGCUUGUGGGGGUAAAGCAUUCGUAGGUAUAGUAUAGAAAAGGUCCAUGAGCAUCAUGUCAGUGUCUUUUAACUUUCCAUUGCAGUGGAAUAAUCCUUUAUGCGUUUAUGAAAAUCUUUGGAAAAGAAGCCACGUCACUGGGUGGUUCCUACUUAUUUUCCUCUCCAGGGGCCUUUGCUGCUCUUGCUGGGUGCCUCAGUUGCUAGCUUUGUGAGUAGUAAUGCCCCACUGUUCCCAGCUCCUUGCUUGCUGGGUGUGAGGACAGAGGCUAUCAUAGCAAUAAUUGCUGGAUGUUCUGUGUUUGCACAUCUGUGGUGGCCUUCUGAAUUGAGUUUCGUGCCAGAGCCAGGCAGCGCCUCCCUACCCCACCCUCCCACUGCCCCUUUAUUUUCUGUGUCACACCAUUAAAAGAAAUGAGAUUAUGGCACAAAUCAUCAUUCAUAUGACUCUAGCAUAGAAGGUUAGCGAGAUAUUGCAGAGAUAAUUCCAUAGCCACCAUGGCCCCUGACAAUAAUUACAAUGUGGCCACAGGGGAUUACCUUCUAAUAGGCUUUUGUUCACUCAAUUCAGAGUCUGUUGUGUGCUAGAGUUUGGAUAAUUAAAGUUGUGUCUCAGAAGCCACAUGUGGUAGCUCAUAAUUAUGUAGUCGAGUCUAACAGAAAACUGAGGUGACUGACACCCGGCCAGAGUGAAGAACAGGGGUCCUUGGUGACAACGAAGAAAGAAACCAGUCCCCUCAUUUGGGGACAGGGGAUUGGUGUUCACUCCAUAGCAUCAACUGCUUUAUUUAUUUUAAACAAAAAUGACUAAUUAUAGCCCUUUCUGGUCCAAUCCCUCACUCUCCACGGGGACUUUUCCUAACCCUUUCCUAUUGCUCCAACAAAAGAAUGGUAGCUGGUCUGAGCAAUGAAGAAAAUAUACAUGGCU